Molecule: long non-coding RNA, 385 nt
Filed under: Felis catus (domestic cat)
Lineage: Eukaryota; Metazoa; Chordata; Mammalia; Carnivora; Felidae
Description: lncRNA (ENSFCAG00000041964.2)
Source: RNAcentral
GCAAGCCAUCACCUCACUCCACCACUCUGGGACCAAAAAUUGUAAGGUAAGCGACCGAACUCCUUUGAACCUGUUUCCUUGCGCUUGAAAGGCAGAAAAGGCUACUACUGGCCCGUGCUACCUUGUGAAAUUUUGAGGAGGCUCAGAAGAGUAUUUGGAAACACAUGGUUUAAGACUUCCUACCUAAACACAGAUCUCCAGAGACAGAGGAGUGGAAGAAGAGGCAAUAAAUCAUCCACAUUUGGGCAGGAUCAUCUUGCAAAUAACGACAUACCACUCAACCGAGAGGCUAAGUCUGUCAGUUGAGGCUGUGAAAUCCACCGCAGAAUGUCUUAAUUGAAAGAAAAAAAAUAAACACUUUCAGGAAACGAGCCCCGCGCUGACA